Molecule: ribosomal RNA, 2875 nt
Filed under: Geum urbanum
Lineage: Eukaryota; Viridiplantae; Streptophyta; Magnoliopsida; Rosales; Rosaceae
Description: bacterial LSU rRNA
Rfam family: Bacterial large subunit ribosomal RNA
Source: RNAcentral
CCCAAGAAAUCAAAAAGGUAAGGGAGACACAAUCCUUACCUUACUUAUAGUGAAAGAAGCAAGCUUAGCUUUCAUAGUUAGAGCAUGGUAGUUCUUAGGAGAUUAAUUCGUUUAGGGUAAAAGAGCUCUUCUUCUUUGAGUUGAUCCUUUAUCUUAACUUAGUUACCUGGCGAAUUGAAACAUCUUAGUAGCCAGAGGAAAAGAAAGCAAAAGCAAUUCUCGUAGUAGCGGUGAGCAAAAUGGGAGCAGCCUAAACCGUGAAAAUGGGAUUGUGAGAGAGCAAGACAAUUGUCGUGCUACUAGGCGAAGUGGUGGAGUGCUGCACCCUAGAUGGCAAGAGUCUAGUAGCCAAAAGCAUUAUUAGCUUAUGCUCUAACCCAAGUAGCAUGGGACAUGUCGAAUCCCAUGUGAAUCAACAAUGACCACUUUGCAAGCUAAAUACUCCUGGGUGACUGAUAGUGAAGUAGUACUAUGAGGGAAGGGUGAAAAGAAUCCUCAUCGGGGAGUGAAAUAGAACAUGAAAACGUAAGCUUCCAAGUAGUGGGAAGAGCCCUGGGCUUUGACCACGUGAUUGUUGAAGAAUAAGUCGGCGACUCAUAAGCAGUGGCUUAGUUAAGGGAACCCACCGAAGCCGUAGCAAAAGCGAGUCUUCAGAGGAAAAUUGUCACUGCUUAUGGACCCAAACCUGGGUGAUCUAUCCAUGACCAUGAUGAAGCUUGGGUAAAACUAAGUGGAGGUUCAAACCGGCUGAUGUUGAAGAAUCAGUGAAUGAGUUGUGGUUAAAGGUGAAAUGCCACUCGAACACAGAGCUAGCUGGUUCUCCCCUAAAUGUGUUGAGAUGCAGUAGUUGAAUGAACAUUUAAGGGUAAAGCACUAUUUUGGUGCAAGCCAUGAGAGGGGUACCAAAUCGAGGUAAACUCUGAAUUCUAGGUAUGACCUCAAAAUAAUAGGGAUCAAGGUCGUUCAGUGAGGCAGUGGGGGAUAAGCUUCAUCAUCGAGAGAGAAACAGCCCGGAUCACCUGCUAUGGCCCCUAAAUGACUACUCAGUGAUAAAGGAGGUAGGGGUGUAGAGAUAGCCAGAAGGUUUGCCUAGAAGCAACCACCCUUGAAAUAGUGCAUAAUAGCUCGUUGAUUGAGCACUCUUGAGCCAAAGAUGAACAGUAGGGAGCGUUCCGCCUAGAGGGAAGCAACCGAGCAAGCAGGGGUGGACGAAGCGGAAGCGAGAAUGUUGUCUUGAGUAAUGCAAACAUUAGUAAGAAUUCAAUGCCCCGAAAAUCCACGAAGGGUGAGUCAGAGCCUAAGAUUAGGCUGAAAGACGUAGUCGAUGGACAAUAAGUGAAUAUUUUUGUACUACCCCUUGUUGGUCCCGAGGGACGGAUGAGGCUAGGUUAGCCGAAAGAUGGUUAUCGAUUCAAGGACGCAAGGUGCCCCCAAUUUUUCAGGAUAAGAAGGGGUAGAGAAAAUGCCUUGAACCAAUGUUUGAGUACCAGGCGUCUCGACGCUGAAGUAACCCAUGCCAUACUCCCAAGCUAAGCUCGAAAGACCUUCAAAAAAGGGGUACUUGUACCCAAAAUCGACACAGUUGGGUAGGUAGAGAAUACAUAGGAGUGAAAGACAACUCUCUCUAAGAAACUCGGAAAAAUAGCCCCGUAACUUGGGGAGAAAGGGUACCUCCUCACAAAGGAGGUCGUAGUGACCAGACCUGGGUGACUAGUUACCAAAAACACAGGUCUUCGUAAAGUCGUAAGACCAUGUAUGGGGGCUAACGCCUUCCAGUGUCUGGAUGUCAAGAAAGUUGGUGACCUGAUGGCAGGGAAUCGGCGAUCGAAGCCCCGAUGAAUGGCGGCCAUAACUAUAAUGGUCCUAAGGUAGCGAAAUUCCUUGUCGAGUAAGUCCUGACCCUCACGAAAUAUGGGCACUGUCUUAGAGAAAGGCUUGGUGAAAUAGACAUGUCUGCGAAGGUGCGAACUACCUGCACCUAGACAAAAAGAUCCUAUGAAGCUUCACUCUUCUNNNNNNNNNNNNNNNNNNNNGGGGAAUCAGUGAGAUACAACUUUGGAAGAGCUAGAAUUCUAACCUUGUGUCAUGACCUACGGGCCAAGGGACAUUCUCAAGUAGACAGUUUCUAUGGGUCAUAGGCCUCCAAAAAGGUAACAAAGGCGUGCAAAGGUUUCCUCGGGCCAAAUGAAGAUUGGUCCUCGAGUGCAAAGGAAGAAGGGAGCUUGACUGCAAGAUCUACCCAUUGAGCAGGGACGAAAGUCGACCUUAGUGAUUUAAUGGUGCCGAGUGGAAGGGUCGUCACUCAACAUAUAAAAGUUACUCUAGGGAUAAUAGGUUGAUCGUCCUUAAGAACUCACAUUGACAGGAAGGUUUGGAACCUUGAUGUUGGCUCUUCACCACCUGGGGAUGUAGUAUGUUCUAAGGAUUGAGUUGUUCGCCCAUUAAAGCGGUACGUGAGCUAGGUUUAGAACGUCGUGAGAAAGUUUGGUCCAUAUCUGGUAUGGGCGUUAGAUCAUUGAGGGGACCUUUCCCUAGUACGAGAGGACCGGGAAGGACGCACCUCUGGUGUACCAGUUAUCGUGCCCACAGUAAACGCUGGGUAGCCAAGUGUGAAGAGCGGAUAACUGGUAAAACCAUCUAAGUAGUAAGUCCACGCAAAGAUGAGUACUAUCCUAUUCUGACUUCCCCAAAGCCUACGGUAGCACAGCUAAGACCACGAUAGGUUUUCUGCUUCCGCGGGGGUGGAGCUACAGAAGUCUUGAGAAUCCAAGAGAAGGUCAUGGCAAGACGAGUCGUUUAUCAUUACGAUAGGUGUCAAAUAUAAGUGCAAUGAUGUAUGAAGCUAAGGCAUCCUAAGAGACCGGUAGACUUCAAC